RNAcentral lists this unclassified non-coding RNA (122 nucleotides) under soil metagenome. Its description in RNAcentral is "partial internal transcribed spacer 1". The record is from RNAcentral.
GCGUGAGCCGAUGGAGGCGCGCACCUUGUGCUGUGUGAGUGUUGCGUGCGUGCUGCGGCGCGCAGGCACGUUUUCAUCCGUUCGACGUAUUCUGAUAGCUGCUCGCACGAGCACAACACCGA